GUCUUACCCUGUCAGGUUCUGGCUAGGAAACCUCCAUCUGGACUGAGCUACCAUUUCUUACCAAUUGAUUUAUCUAAUCCCUUUGGCUUGCGAAGGACCUGGCUCAUUCCCCACGUGCUGGUCCCCAGUCGUCAUGUUACCAAGGCACUCAGCCUUCAGGACUGCAAAACCCUAACGGGCAGUGUCUUCCCAAGGGACAGCCUAAAGAUCCAGAAGCCAAAGAACGAAACUGAAAACCUAUCAGAGAAAUAUACGUGCUGUAGGGCACAGCUCAGCCUAUUACAUGGUCCUGAGCAGAGCUGGACUCCCUGUUCUCAGAGACAGGGGCCCCUUCCCACACUGGGGAAAGGGGCAAACAGUGGUGGGGUGCCUUGAGGGGUUUGCUGUGUGUGAUUUGGUGUUUAGGUAUUCAACCCAAACAGCUGUUUUUGCACUUUAGAAUUUUUUAAGUUUUUUUAAUUGAAGUAGAGCUGAUUGACAAUAUCGUGCUUGUUUCAGGUGUACAGCGCAGUGAUUCAGUAAUUUUUGAAGAUUAUAUUUCAUUAUAGGUUAUUACAAGAUACUGAAUAUAAUUCCUUGUGCUAGAUAGUAAAUCCUUCUUAUCUUUUUUUUUCUUUUUUCUUUUUAGGGCAGCACCUGUGGCGUAUGGAGCUUCUCAGGCUACAGGUCCAGUUGGAGCUGCAGCUGCCGUCCUAUGCCACAGCCACAGCAGUGCUGGAUCCAGGUCACACCUCACGGCAACACUGGAUCCUUAACCCACUCGUCAUCCUUGCCCAGCCGCAGCCCCAGCCAGAAGACUGCAGGGAGCUCCAGCCUCGAGUUCCGGACCCCUGGGGGCAGCUCCUGCUUUCAGAAGUUGUGGCGGAAGGGACUCUGUACUGCUCUUCAGCGACGCCCUGGACAUGAGCUCUCCCGGGCACAGAUUGAGCCGUCCAGCAAGGUUAAGAAGCCAGCUGGAGGAAGAGUCAACAGCCCUCAAGUUUGACACUUGUCACUCUUGUUUUUCUACGUUGGGAUUUAACAAGAGGAUUCAAGAAGAGAACCACUCGUCAAGCCGUCAUCUGGUCACUGGCUGCUCUGUUGAUGCUUUCAGCCAGACUCUAGGAUAUCAGCGGAGAUUUGGUUUUGGCAAAAACAAAAAAUUUUUAUAGUCCCUGCUAGAAAUUCCUUAUCCAGAAGGGCAUCAAAGCCAGGGGGCCUUCAGAGUAAGGGAUAAAUCCACUCCAGGCUGGUGGGAGGGUCCCCUUAGCCAUUUUGCCCCUCACCUGAGGAGGAGGGCAGGUGAGGGGAGACUGGUUUCCACUGGAAACAGAGAAAGUCCCUAUGGACAAAGAUUGUCACCUGCCACUUCAGGAAACAAAGGAUGCUGCAGCCGGAGUUCCCAUCGUGGCUCAGUGGUUAAUGAAUCUGACUAGGAACCAUGAGGUUGCAGGUUCGAUCCCUGGCCUCACUCAGUGGGUUAAGGAUCCAGCGUGAGCUGUGGUGUUAGGUCGCAGACACGGCUUGGAUCUGGUGUUGCUGUGGCACUGGUGUAGGCCAAUGGCUACAGCUCCGAUUAGACCCCUAGCCUGGGAACCCCCUUUUGUCGUCCAAGGGGUGGCCCGGGAAAAAAAAAAAAAAAAAAAAAAAAAAAGAUGCUGCAGCCAUCAAGCCCACAGCUACUGUAGCUGCCAUGGACUGUGAACCCUGAAGGUACUCAGGAUGGAGAAAACAGGACACUGGCCUGUCACGAGACAUGUUUCUACAACAUUUUCUUAACCUCUUUGCUGAAAACCGCAUCUUGUCCUGCUUUACUUGACCCCGUCUUCCUGCUUGAAAACAGUCUCCUACUGGUAAAUGACUUAAGCUUAAGAACAAAGACCUAAAGGCAUGAGUUAUUCAUAGGGUCAGCUGAAUGAGGACUUAAUGCAUUGGUCUAGGCACAUCCAGACCUGUGCAGAUUGGCAUUCCUUUUGCACAGCAGGAUAUGUUCUCUAAAGAAUAAGAGAAGGAGGAAUUUCAUGGCCAAGUGCUUUAUAAGUGGUCAUUAGCAGCAUAUGCAUCAGCAAAGAGAACCAAGGUGCAAACCUAGGCACACUGGGUUGCCACAAAUAGGCAUGCUGUUUGCCGAAGCCCAGUGAGGAUUCUCUGGAAAGCUCUGCAUAGAUCGCCAACUCAAAUGCUAAUGACUGUUAUGUGCCUAACAGUCAGAGUAAAAGCUUAACCUUUUACCAGCAAGUGGCUUUUAAAGUAAUAAAAGAUCUUAUACAAUAGUAAACA
RNAcentral lists this long non-coding RNA (2259 nucleotides) under Sus scrofa (pig). Its description in RNAcentral is "lncRNA (ENSSSCG00065039848.1)". Lineage: Eukaryota; Metazoa; Chordata; Mammalia; Artiodactyla; Suidae. The record is from RNAcentral.